RNAcentral lists this transfer RNA (75 nucleotides) under Vulcanisaeta moutnovskia 768-28. Its description in RNAcentral is "tRNA-Glu (TTC) (tRNA-Glu-TTC-1-1)". It matches the Rfam family "tRNA". Rfam says of the family: Transfer RNA (tRNA) molecules are approximately 80 nucleotides in length. Their secondary structure includes four short double-helical elements and three loops (D, anti-codon, and T loops). Lineage: Archaea; Thermoproteati; Thermoproteota; Thermoprotei; Thermoproteales; Thermoproteaceae. RNAcentral also lists the same sequence under 2 other names. The record is from RNAcentral.
GCCCCGGUAGUAUAGCCCGGUCAAGUAUGUGGGCCUUUCGAGCCCGUGACCCGGGUUCAAAUCCCGGCCGGGGCA